AUAGCUCAUUACAACAGCCAUCGUUUACUAGAAAAUAUUUAUCCUACUUGGAUAACUGUGGCAAUUCUAGAGCUAAUACAUGCAAAAAAGCUCAGACUGAAAGGAAUGAGCGCAUUUAUUAGAAUAAAAACCAAUCGGGUCUAAAAGCCCGCUGUUUGGUGAAUCUGAAUAACUUUGCUGAUCGCACGGUCUAGUACCGGCGACGUAUCUUUCAAGUGUCUGCCUUAUCAACUUUCGAUGGUAGGUUAUACGCCUACCAUGGUAGUAACGGGUAACGGAGAAUAAGGGUUCGACUCCGGAGAGGGAGCCUGAGAAACGGCUACCACAUCCAAGGAAGGCAGCAGGCGCGCAAAUUACCCACUUCCAGAACGGAGAGGUAGUGACGAAAAAUAACGAGACAGUCCUCUCUGAGGUCUGUCAUCGGAAUGGGUACAAUUUAAAUCCUUUAACGAGGAUCUAUUGGAGGGCAAGUCUGGUGCCAGCAGCCGCGGUAAUUCCAGCUCCAAUAGCGUAUAUUAAAGUUGUUGCGGUUAAAACGCUCGUAGUUGAAUCUGCGGCCUGGGAGAAUGGACCCCCGAAAGGGUGGUAACUGUUACUCCUAGCCUAAAUUUUUAGUCUACUCUAUGGUGCCUUUAACCGGGUGCUUAGAGUGACUGGAACGUUUACUUUGAAAAAAUUAGAGUGCUUAAAGCAGGCGAAUUUGCCUGAAUAAGGUGCAUGGAAUAAUGGAAUAGGACCUCGGUUCUAUUUUGUUGGUUUUCGGAGCCUGAGGUAAUGAUUAAGAGGAACAGACGGGGGCAUUCGUAUUCCGGCGCUAGAGGUGAAAUUCUUGGACCGCCGGAAGACGGACGACUGCGAAAGCAUUUGCCAAGAAUGUUUUCAUUAAUCAAGAACGAAAGUUAGAGGUUCGAAGGCGAUCAGAUACCGCCCUAGUUCUAACCGUAAACGAUGACAACCAGCGAUUAGUCGGCGUUAAUAUAUGACCCGACUAGCAGCUUCCGGGAAACCAAAGUUUUUCGUUUCCGGGGGAAGUAUGGUUGCAAAGCUGAAACUUAAAGGAAUUGACGGAAGGGCACCACCAGGAGUGGAGCCUGCGGCUUAAUUUGACUCAACACGGGAAAACUCACCCGGCCCGGACACCGUAAGGAUUGACAGACUGAGAGCUCUUUCUUAAUUCGGUGGGUGGUGGUGCAUGGCCGUUCUUAGUUGGUGGAGCGAUUUGUCUGGUUAAUUCCGAUAACGAACGAGACUCUGGCCUAUUAAAUAGCCGGUAUAUAUUGAAAAGUUUGCCGCGCUUCUUAGAGGGACAACCGGCGUCUAGCCGCGUGAAAUAGAGCAAUAACAGGUCUGUGAUGCCCUUAGAUGUCCGGGGCUGCACGCGCGCUACACUGAAAGAAUCAGUAUGCGCAUUCGCCUAGUUCGGAAGAACCGGGUAACCCUAGCAAAUUCUUUCGUGCUUGGGAUAGGGAAUUGCAAUUAUUUCCCUUGAACGAGGAAUUCCCAGUAAAUGCGGGUCAUAAGCUCGCGUUGAUUACGUCCCUGCCCUUUGUACACACCGCCCGUCGCUACUACCGAUUGGAUGACUUAGUGAGGUCUUAGGACCGAGGUGAUGGAGCUUUCAUUAGUUCUUUUGCUUUGGAAAUUUGAUCGAACUACGUUAUCUAGAGGAAGUAAAAGUCGUAACAAGGUUUCCGUAGGUGAACCUGCGGAAGGAUCAUUAACGAGCUAAAUCGAAUAUAUACACGCCCGUAUACUGGAUGGGAGAAGCGGUAGGCGCCUGAUCUGCGCAAAGUCCGUCCAUCUUCGGUUAGUGGGGCUAAUUACUAGAGAUAUGAAUCUAUCGGUGGAGUUUCUCCUUGGAAAGGGGGGUUUCUGGACUACGACUCUGAUUCGGCUUUCUUAUCGCGAUACCGCGUGGGUGUGUCGGUUGUAGUCAGGCUACCCGAUCUCCCGGCGUUGCGGUGCGAUUCGAAGGUGCGCGGGGGCUUCCCGCCGUCGAGGUAAAUGGAGUCGUCUGUUCGGGGACCCGUUUGGGGAAGGGCUGCCGUUUAUCGUCUAGUAUCAGACGUUUGGAAUUAAGUUUUCAAAGAGCGCGGGGAAAAUGUAUACCGCUCUCUUCGAACGCUGAGUUCUUCUUCGGGUACCUAUCAGCUCUGCUUACGCUACAGUUCCGUCUGGCUGUAAAGAAACGCGUCGGAGCUGGAAUCCUUACUCCCUUCGUACUCGAUACUUGGCCGUAUUGAGGGAAAAAGAGACGGAGAGAAGGUGAGGUUCAAAGAGUCGUCGGCUCCUGGACUCGGUUCCCGGCUAAGGCCGGGCGCUGAGGGAUCUGCCGUUGGAGCGGCUGCUUUAGAACUGGGAAUACGUACGAUAAUGUGCGUUGGUUCUGAGCAGUUCGGGGCGCCUGCUUAGGCGGGUGUUCGGGCGACCGCCCGAAAUCCAAACCUAUACGUUUUAAAAUAAAGCUGGUUU
This 2472-nucleotide ribosomal RNA is filed under the name Longidorus elongatus. Its description in RNAcentral is "SSU rRNA". The stretch from base 1 to 1720 matches the Rfam family "Eukaryotic small subunit ribosomal RNA". Lineage: Eukaryota; Metazoa; Nematoda; Enoplea; Dorylaimida; Longidoridae. The record is from RNAcentral.